CAAACUCGGAGAUCAGCCCUCCACUGCUAGGAUUAAAGGCGUGGUCCACUUCUCCGGGCGGAUUCCCUGCACAAGCCUCUAAAUUGAGAGCAGCGGGCAGCUGGCUACUAGGCAGCGCCAGUGCCGACAAGCCCGAGGCUAGAAGCCGCUGGAGUGGCCUGGGACUGAGCGCCCCAGGCCGCCCAGCUGACUCCUGCAGCUGUCGCAAAGCUGUCCCCACCAGCGGCCACCCAACUCAGGGCGGAACUCUCUACGCCCAAGAGGAUCGGCAGGCGGCGCUGCUACUCCAGUUGAGCGCAAGGAUCCCUGCUACCGGAGCGCAGAUUGGGGCAACCAGGGCGCAGAUUGGGGCAACCAGGGCGCAGAUUGGGGCAACGGCCGGCCCAGGUGGCGCUCAGGACCGACCAGCAACACCCCGCCCCUGCAGCUGCUUCUUGGCUUGGUGAUCAAGUGCACCAGACUGGGGUCAGUCCUAGGGGAUGUUUCUUGGCACGAGUGCUGGAGACGCCAUGCUUCUCCAACACCCAACCCGGAGGUGUCCGCCCCGCUUCGUGCUUCCUCGGUUAAGCUUCCCUCCUCUGGCAAGACUUUUAGGAAUGGAGCCAGGACUCGGGCAUCGGAGUACAUUCUGAAAACCAGGAGGCUAGAGGUUUCUCUGUGCCUUUGGAGGCUGUCCUGGAACGAGCUCUUGUAGACCAGGCUGGUCUCCAACUCACAGAGAUCUGCCUGCCUCUGCCUGCAGAGUGCUGGGAUUAAAGCCUUCAUCCAGCAGCUGGUGGAAGUAGAAGCAGACACCCACAGCUAAACCUUGAACUGAACUGAAAUCCAGAUGCAGAGAAGGAGGACUGAUGAGCAAAAGGAUCCAUACCAGGCAGGUGAAAACCACAGAAACAGCUGACCUGAACAACAGGGAGCUCUUGGCCCCUAGACUGAUAGCUGGGAAACCAGCAUGGGACUGAUCCAGACCCCCUGAAUGUGGGUGUCAAUGAGGAGACCUUGGAAAUCUACGGGGCCACUUGUAGUGGAUCAGUACUUAUCACUACCAUAGGAAUGGACUUUAGGAACUCAUCCCACAUGGAGGGAUACUCCCUGAGCCUAGACACAAGGGGGUUGGCCUAGGCCCUAUCCCAUAGAAUAUGACAGACUUUGAAGACCUCCCCCCAUGGAAGGCCUCACCCUUCCUGGAGAGCAGAAAGGGUAUGGGAUGGGUAGGGCGUUAGUUGGGGGGGGGGAGGG
Molecule: long non-coding RNA, 1236 nt
Filed under: Cricetulus griseus (Chinese hamster)
Lineage: Eukaryota; Metazoa; Chordata; Mammalia; Rodentia; Cricetidae
Description: lncRNA (ENSCGRG00015034461.1)
Source: RNAcentral